UGUUACAGGACGCCCUUUCUUCGUAGCACAAGGAGCUGAGUUUAACAGUAAUGGCAUUGCUACAAAAGGAAUAAAUGCAAUUAGCAAACAUCAGAUUUGGUUUAUAAUGCAGAAAAAUGAAUGAUUAGAAGAAGAAGAUACAUGUAGAAAAUUUACCAGAAAUAGCAGUCAUUCUUACUAAAGCACUAACAACCCACAAGUUAGGUAUGACAGAUCAAGGCUUUUUCUUCCAGAAGUUCACUUUUUAUCGCGAUUUUUUUAGUCCCAUUAAGCGUGCUACACGACAUAUUACUAUGUCAACGUACUGAAGACAUC
RNAcentral lists this long non-coding RNA (315 nucleotides) under Solanum tuberosum (potato). Its description in RNAcentral is "long non-coding RNA (STUB_LNC010361)". The record is from RNAcentral. Lineage: Eukaryota; Viridiplantae; Streptophyta; Magnoliopsida; Solanales; Solanaceae.